This 405-nucleotide ribosomal RNA is filed under the name uncultured bacterium. RNAcentral describes it as "bacterial SSU rRNA". It matches the Rfam family "Bacterial small subunit ribosomal RNA", at positions 29 to 417 of the family's 1533-position model. The record is from RNAcentral.
AACGAACGCUGGCGGCGUGCCUAACACAUGCAAGUCGUGCGAGAAAGUUCCUUCGGGAGCGAGUAAAGCGGCGCACGGGUGAGUAACACGUAGGUAACCUGCCCCCCAGUCUGGAACAACUAGAGGAAACUCUAGCUAAUGCCGGAUGAGACCACGAUCCCUUCGGGGGUUGCGGCCAAAGACGGCCUCUACUUGUAAGCUAUCGCUGAGGGAUGGGCCUGCGGGCCAUUAGCUUGUUGGUGAGGUAACGGCUCACCAAGGCUGUGAUGGCUAGCUGGUCUGAGAGGAUGACCAGCCACACUGGGACUGAGACACGGCCCAGACUCCUACGGGAGGCAGCAGUGGGGAAUAUUGCGCAAUGGGCGAAAGCCUGACGCAGCGACGCCGCGUGGGUGAUGAAGGCCU